Molecule: long non-coding RNA, 1211 nt
Organism: Nerophis ophidion (straightnose pipefish)
Lineage: Eukaryota; Metazoa; Chordata; Actinopteri; Syngnathiformes; Syngnathidae
Exons: 2
Source: RefSeq, a predicted model, not a curated record
GCGUCCUGUCCUUCGCGGAAAUCCUCCCUGACGUCCUUCGUCGGGAGCGGUGCUUCUGGGGCUGCAGUAACAUGGCGCCGUCCUCGGACCAAAUGGAGCUAAUCGGCACCAGACUUCCAUCUGGUCCCCACAUCAUAUCUCUGUGCCCCAUGGAGGAAUAACGCAGUGUUUCUUCUUCCAUGGCGCGCAGGCCCUCCCACGUUCUUUCGUCCAACUCGUCUGGCCCGUCCAAACUUGCGGAAAAACUUUUCUGCUGGCAACUUAUGUCACGACUUCAACUAUGGGAUAGUUUGUUUUUCCAACGCAAAGGAAAAGAGGCACGAGACAGACGUGAAUAUCAGCCCUUCCCAGGUCCAGCCGCCCCCUAGAAGGAGGAAUCAGCGUAAAACCAAACUGGUAAGUUGAGCAAAUUCAGAAUUAUGUGCCAGUUCAUCUGUGCAGAUUUGAGGAUGACGGCCCACCACACCAAAUUCCCUUCCGCCAGUCGAGAGGGUCAAGGUCAUUAACCGCAAGCGGACGGAGCCCAGGUGGACCAGUCCCUUUGAGGUCGUGGAACGGACGUCUCACUCCCUUCGGCUGGCAGAUGUCACUGCUGACAUCGCCACAUCACCGGCCCGACUCGGUCCCCUUGCAGAACUUACACACAUAGCCUCACAACCCAGAAGACGACACCGAGAGAGCUCUCCCCACGUUGAGCUGCCAUCUACCGUCGUGUAGAUCUACCAGACCUGCUCAACUGCUUUUUAAUGUAUCCAAAGCUAUCAUUACUUGAGAUCAACCUAUAUACUCGAUGUUAUAUAACUUCUCUUACUUGUUUUCAGCAAUACUAUUGGUGUCGCUACAAUAAGUGAAAAGUUUGAUGUUUAUCCCCGUUUAGUUACCUAAAAUACUCUGAUUUUGAUAGACGAAAGGCAGGAUGUUACACCCAGCAGUAUUCCCUGACAGAUUGGAAUUUAGGCUUGUUCUAAUGUCCUUGUGAAGUGAAAUAUAUUUAUAUAGUGCUUUUCUCUAGUGACUCAAAGCGCUUUUACAUAGUGAAACUCAAUAUCUAAGUUACAUUUAAACCACUGUGGGCUGCACUGGGAGCAGGUGGGUAAAGUGCCUUGCCCAAGGACACAACGGCAGUGACUAGGAUGGCGGAAGCGGGAAUCGAACCUGCAACCCUCAAGUUGCUGGCACGGCCACUCUACCAACCGAGCUAUGCCGCCCCA